UGCGAGUGAAGAGGGAAGAGCUCAUCAUUGGAAUCUGGCAGUGUUUCACUGUCCGAGUUGUAGAUGAGGAGUAGUCCGUCUGGACUGCAUGGCGUCCAAGUACAAUAGAGUGGGACAUCAUAGAGGGUGACAAUCCCGUCCUUGACGCCAAUGUGCAAGUCUAUUACGAUGGCUAUCUCAGAGAGUCGAGCAGUUUGGGAUUUGCUGCUUAAACAUGGGAGGUAGAUUCCUUCUAAAGCUAAAUACAGGCGAGAGACCGAUAGAGAACAAGUACCGCAAGGGAAAGAUGAAAUAGCACUCUGUGAAGGGAGUCAAAAGGCGUGAAAUUGUUGCGAGAGAAGCGAUUCAAGUCAGCGUAGCUAGGCCCAUCAAGCGUCUUCGCUUUGGACUAGCUUUGCCAGCGGUCUUGUCCCUUAAAGAGACUUGACUUGUAAUAUGUCCAGCCUGGCGUGCACAGGCAGCCCCUUCUGGGGGCCAGUGACAUGGCUGGUGGAAUGGCUUGCAAUCGACCCGUCUUGAAACACGGACCAAGGAGUCUAACAUGUAUGCGAGUAUAAGGGUGGCAAACCCGUAUGCGCAAUGAAAGUGAUUUUCGGUGAUUGAGAUGUCCCUCGUACGGCCAUUGCCCAAGUUCCGUGGUAGAUCCCACGAACAUGGAGUUGGAGCAUACAUGCUAGGACCCGAAAGAUGGUGAACUAUGCCUGGACAAAGCGAAGCCAAAGGAAACUCUGGUGGAGGCUUGUAGCGAUUCUGACGUGCAAAUCGA
RNAcentral lists this ribosomal RNA (766 nucleotides) under Cantharellus cibarius (golden chanterelle). RNAcentral's name for it is "partial large subunit ribosomal RNA". It matches the Rfam family "Eukaryotic large subunit ribosomal RNA", at positions 88 to 901 of the family's 3401-position model. The record is from RNAcentral. Lineage: Eukaryota; Fungi; Basidiomycota; Agaricomycetes; Cantharellales; Hydnaceae.